UGUGAAUCUGAGGGUCCUGGUUCUUCACUGAAUUUUGGUGGAGGAUCUUUAGACCGGUCACUCUUCAUAGACAGACAGCUGGAGAUAACAGACUUUGUUCUGUCCUCCUCUGGGGGUCCUGGUUCUUCACUGAAGACCGGUGGAGGAUCUUUAGACCGGUCACUCUUCAUAGACAGACAGCUGGAGAUAACAGACUUUGUUCUGUCCUCCUCUGGGGGUCCUGGUUCUUUACUGAAGACCAGGUGGAGGAUCUUUAGACCGGUCACUCUUCAUAGACAGACAGUCAAACAUAUCAGACUCUGCUCUGCCCUCCUCUUCCUCGACACAAACACUCAUCUUCUCCAUCUUCUGUUGUGCAAAUUUAUGGAGGCUGAAACCGAGUUAUACAACCUGAGGACAAAGAAGACAAACAGGUGAGACACAAACAGGAAGAGAGAGUUCAGAAAUAAAAGAGGAAUCAGAAAGGAAGUACAGAGUCUGAAAACAGC
Molecule: non-coding RNA, 488 nt
Organism: Xyrichtys novacula (pearly razorfish)
Lineage: Eukaryota; Metazoa; Chordata; Actinopteri; Labriformes; Labridae
Source: the annotation of a GenBank genome assembly